RNAcentral lists this transfer RNA (72 nucleotides) under Bos taurus (domestic cattle). It matches the Rfam family "tRNA". Rfam says of the family: Transfer RNA (tRNA) molecules are approximately 80 nucleotides in length. Their secondary structure includes four short double-helical elements and three loops (D, anti-codon, and T loops). Further hydrogen bonds mediate the characteristic L-shaped molecular structure. tRNAs have two regions of fundamental functional importance: the anti-codon, which is responsible for specific mRNA codon recognition, and the 3' end, to which the tRNAs corresponding amino acid is attached (by aminoacyl-tRNA synthetases). tRNAs cope with the degeneracy of the genetic code in two manners: having more than one tRNA (with a specific anti-codon) for a particular amino acid; and 'wobble' base-pairing, i.e. permitting non-standard base-pairing at the 3rd anti-codon position. The record is from Rfam by way of RNAcentral. RNAcentral also lists the same sequence under 5 other names. Lineage: Eukaryota; Metazoa; Chordata; Mammalia; Artiodactyla; Bovidae.
CCCCUGGUGGUCUAGUGGUGAGGACUCCUGAUUUUCAUCCAGGUUACCCAGCUUUAAUUCCUGGGCAGGGAA